RNAcentral lists this ribosomal RNA (438 nucleotides) under uncultured bacterium. Its description in RNAcentral is "bacterial SSU rRNA". It matches the Rfam family "Bacterial small subunit ribosomal RNA", at positions 335 to 788 of the family's 1533-position model. The record is from RNAcentral.
ACUCCUACGGGAGGCAGCAGUGGGGAAUAUUGCACAAUGGGCGCAAGCCUGAUGCAGCAACGCCGUGUGAGUGAAGAAGGUUUUCGGAUCGUAAAACUCUGUCCUAAGGGAAGAAACAAAUGACGGUACCUUAGGAGGAAGCCCCGGCUAACUACGUGCCAGCAGCCGCGGUAAUACGUAGGGGGCAAGCGUUAUCCGGAAUCACUGGGCGUAAAGGGUGCGUAGGCGGCUUAGCAAGCCAGGGGUGAAAGGCAUUGGCUCAACCAAUGUAAGCCUUUGGAACUGUUAAGCUUGAGUGCAGGAGAGGUAAGUGGAAUUCCUAGUGUAGAGGUGAAAUUCGUAGAUAUUAGGAGGAACACCAGUGGCGAAGGCGACUUACUGGACUGUAACUGACGCUGAUGCACGAAAGCGUGGGUAGCGAACAGGAUUAGAUACCCU